This 324-nucleotide long non-coding RNA is filed under the name Nicotiana benthamiana. Its description in RNAcentral is "long non-coding RNA (NBEN_LNC038262)". Lineage: Eukaryota; Viridiplantae; Streptophyta; Magnoliopsida; Solanales; Solanaceae. The record is from RNAcentral.
GCAUUUACGGACUUGAUGUCCCCGUUGGACAAUCAUCUAGUGUCAUAUCCAAUGGGUCGAAUGCACGCCUGAAGCGUGGCACGCCAUUAGGAUCCAAUGAUUACUAUGUUGGAGAAACACAAUUGAUUACCAAUAAGGUAUUGUGUUGUAGUAAGUCUCAAAGAAACUUAUUUAGUUUCCAAAAGUAUAUGCGAAAGCGAUUGAUUAUAUUGAAACUAUAAAUAAAGGAAAGAUCUGAUAUCUUCCAUUACUACAACUUGUAGCGGAUAAUUUGUAUAUGAAAAGCUACCCGCUCCAUUCUCCAGUUUGUACUACGCAAACAAA